CUACGGGAGGCAGCAGUGGGGAAUAUUGCACAAUGGGCGCAAGCCUGAUGCAGCCAUGCCGCGUGUAUGAAGAAGGCCUUCGGGUUGUAAAGUACUUUCAGCGGGGAGGAAAGGAGUAAAGUUAAUACCUUUGCUCAUUGACGUUACCCGCAGAAGAAGCACCAGCUAACUCCGUGCCAGCAGCCGCGGUAAUACGGAGGGUGCAAGCGUUAAUCGGAAUUACUGGGCGCAAAGCGCACGCAGGCGGUUUGUUAAGUCAGAUGUGAAAUCCCCGGGCUCAACCUGGGAACUGCAUCUGAUACUGGCAAGCUUGAGUCUCGUAGAGGGGGGUAGAAUUCCAGGUGUAGCGGUGAAAUGCGUAGAGAUCUGGAGGAAUACCGGUGGCGAAGGCGGCCCCCUGGACGAAGACUGACGCUCAGGUGCGAAAGCGCGGGGAGCAAACAGGAUUAGAUACCCUGGUAGUCCACGCCAUAAACGAUGUCGACUUGGAGGUUGUGCCCUUGAGGCGUGGCUUCCGGAGCUAACGCGUUAAGUCGACCGCCUGGGGAGUACGGCCGCAAGGUUAAAACUCAAAGGAAUUGACGGGG
Molecule: ribosomal RNA, 587 nt
Filed under: uncultured bacterium
Lineage: Bacteria
Description: bacterial SSU rRNA
Rfam family: Bacterial small subunit ribosomal RNA
Source: RNAcentral